GUGGAAGACGGGCAUACCCCAUUGCAAUGGAUAAGGGAAUCUAAACCACGGAGCAGAUCCUAAUGCAUGUAAAGCAUCAACACGACAGUGCUUCAUCUUAGGGAUAUUCUCUCUGCAGUGAUCGGAUAUUAUAUUUAAUACUGGUGCAUUCACAUCACAGCCUUUAUAGCUAUAUACUCCCACUGCCGUCAGAAGGAAAGCUACGGACCAUGUUA
RNAcentral lists this unclassified non-coding RNA (215 nucleotides) under Hevea brasiliensis (rubber tree). The record is from RNAcentral. Lineage: Eukaryota; Viridiplantae; Streptophyta; Magnoliopsida; Malpighiales; Euphorbiaceae.